RNAcentral lists this ribosomal RNA (253 nucleotides) under uncultured bacterium. RNAcentral describes it as "partial 16S ribosomal RNA". It matches the Rfam family "Bacterial small subunit ribosomal RNA", at positions 524 to 776 of the family's 1533-position model. The record is from RNAcentral.
UACGUAGGGUGCGAGCGUUGUCCGGAAUUAUUGGGCGUAAAGAGCUCGUAGGCGGCUUGUCGCGUCGGAUGUGAAAGCCCGGGGCUUAACUCCGGGUCUGCAUUCGAUACGGGCGGGCUAGAGUUCGGUAGGGGAGACUGGAAUUCCUGGUGUAGCGGUGAAAUGCGCAGAUAUCAGGAGGAACACCGGUGGCGAAGGCGGGUCUCUGGGCCGAUACUGACGCUGAGGAGCGAAAGCGUGGGGAGCGAACAGG